UACGUAGGAGGCAAGCGUUGUCCGGAAUCACUGGGCGUAAAGCGCGUGUAGGCGGAUCGCUAAGUCUGUGGUGAAAGCGCCUGGCUUAACCGGGCGAGGUCCAUGGAAACUAGCGGUCUGGAGGCCAGUAGAGGGGGGUGGAAUUCCGGGUGUAGUGGUGAAAUGCGUAGAGAUCCGGAGGAACACCAGUGGCGAAGGCGGCCCCCUGGGCCGCGCCUGACGCUGAGACGCGAAAGCGCGGGGAGCGAACGGG
RNAcentral lists this ribosomal RNA (253 nucleotides) under uncultured bacterium. RNAcentral's name for it is "partial 16S ribosomal RNA". It matches the Rfam family "Bacterial small subunit ribosomal RNA", at positions 524 to 776 of the family's 1533-position model. The record is from RNAcentral.